CACAGUAGAACGUGCCUUUGAUGAGCUUUGCGCUUUGAUUUUUGAUCUUUGAUCAGCAGAGAGGAUAUAAGACUACCUUCCCCAGCACGCUUAUAUCAGACACACUGGAGCAGCAGCUGGAAACUCUUUGACGAUGCACCGAGAGGAAUCUGCCGGAUCUACUGUAAAGCAGAGAGGAUAUAAGACUACCUUCCCCAGCACGCUUAUAUCAGACACACUGGAGCAGCAGCUGGAAACUGAAGAUUGGCCGAGAGGAGCAUUUGAAUCUGGAUCUACUGUAAGGGGAGAAGUAGGAUCAGGAGUGUCAGGCUGUCCAGACCAGAGGAGCGUUUCUGCUGAAGGAAAUCCAGUUGUUCUUUUGCUGCCUGAGGACCUAUUGAGCUAAGUGCAUCCUACCCUUAUCCUACUCUAUUUUCCUCUCUUUCCUUCACUCUUACAACCAUACCAUUCCUUUUACGUUAUAUGUUUUACGCAAAAUAAUAAUAUGCCCCCUCCCCCCAAACUUAAAUACAUAAAAUAACAAAACUAAAAGCAAAAAAAACUUAAAAACAUAAAAUAACAAAA
Larimichthys crocea (large yellow croaker) is the source of this 564-nucleotide long non-coding RNA. RefSeq lists it as uncharacterized. NCBI's taxonomy places the organism in Eukaryota, Metazoa, Chordata, Actinopteri, Sciaenidae. The record is from RefSeq and is a predicted model, not a curated record. The transcript is spliced from 3 exons.